CCCAUAUCAUUUGGACCAUUAUUGAAUUUAUUAUGAUUUUUCAAAGAUUGCAAAAAAAAUGAAAUAAAAAUUGCAUGAAACAAAUGAAUUAAUGGAAAUAUAUGAAAUAAAUUGGAAUUUGAAAUUGGCGCCUCCUUGCUGAAAUGCGGCGUUUCAUUUAGAAACGCCUCAGCCAAUCAGAGCGCAUCAUGGCGCGCGCAUGCAGCCAGUAACAUUCAAA
Molecule: long non-coding RNA, 220 nt
Filed under: Lathyrus oleraceus (garden pea)
Lineage: Eukaryota; Viridiplantae; Streptophyta; Magnoliopsida; Fabales; Fabaceae
Description: Pisum sativum (pea) long non-coding RNA (PSAT_LNC012328)
Source: RNAcentral